RNAcentral lists this ribosomal RNA (328 nucleotides) under uncultured eukaryote. RNAcentral describes it as "partial 18S ribosomal RNA". It matches the Rfam family "Eukaryotic small subunit ribosomal RNA", at positions 1470 to 1796 of the family's 1831-position model. The record is from RNAcentral.
CCCUUAGAUGUCCUGGGCCGCACGCGCGCUACACUGGUACAUGCAACGAGUUUAUAACCUGUGCCGAAGGGUUCGGGUAAUCUGUGAACAUGUACCGUGAUUGGGAUAGAUUAUUGCAAUUAUUAAUCUUGCACGAGGAAUUCCUAGUAAACGCGAGUCAUCAGCUCGCAUUGAUUACGUCCCUGCCCUUUGUACACACCGCCCGUCGCACCUACCGAUUGAAUGGUCCGGUGAAAAUUUCGGACUAGCGCUUUGAUGCCUUUGUUGGCGACGUUGCGCUGGGAAGUUAGUUAAACCUUAUCAUUUAGAGGAAGGUGAAGUCGUAACA